Molecule: non-coding RNA, 93 nt
Organism: Mycena polygramma
Lineage: Eukaryota; Fungi; Basidiomycota; Agaricomycetes; Agaricales; Mycenaceae
Source: the annotation of a GenBank genome assembly
UCUCGACUCGUAUAUCGGUUUAGUACACGCGCCUGUCAAGGGCCUAAGACAACCCGGCCGCGCGAAAGCUGGGUUCGACUCCCAGGUCGAGAG